CGAUGCAACGCGAAGAACCUUACCAAGGCUUGACAUACACCGGUAACGCCCAGAGACUGGGUGCCCCUUGUGGUCGGUGUACAGGUGGUGCAUGGUUGUCGUCAGCUCGUGUCGUGAGAUGUUGGGUUAAGUCCCGCAACGAGCGCAACCCUCGUCCUAUGUUGCCAGCGGGUCAUGCCGGGGACUCAUGGGAGACUGCCGGGGUCAACUCGGAGGAAGGUGGGAUGACGUCAAAUCAUCAUGCCCCUUAUGUCUUGGGCUUCACGCAUGCUACAAUGGCCGGUACAAAGGGCUGCGAUACCGCGAGGUGGAGCGAAUCCCAGAAAGCCGGUCUCAGUUCGGAUUGGGGUCUGCAACUCGACCCCAUGAAGUCGGAGUCGCUAGUAAUCGCAGAUCAGCAACGCUGCGGUGAAUACGUUCCCGGGCCUU
Molecule: ribosomal RNA, 429 nt
Filed under: uncultured Cellulomonas sp.
Lineage: Bacteria; Bacillati; Actinomycetota; Actinomycetes; Micrococcales; Cellulomonadaceae
Description: bacterial SSU rRNA
Rfam family: Bacterial small subunit ribosomal RNA
Source: RNAcentral